UACGAAGGGGGCUAGCGUUGCUCGGAAUCACUGGGCGUAAAGGGUGCGUAGGCGGGUCUUUAAGUCAGGGGUGAAAUCCUGGAGCUCAACUCCAGAACUGCCUUUGAUACUGAAGAUCUUGAGUCCGGGAGAGGUGAGUGGAACUGCGAGUGUAGAGGUGAAAUUCGUAGAUAUUAGGAAGAACACCAGUGGCGAAGGCGGCUCACUGGCCCGGUACUGACGCUGAGGCGCGAAAGCGUGGGGAGCAAACAGG
Molecule: ribosomal RNA, 253 nt
Filed under: uncultured bacterium
Lineage: Bacteria
Description: partial 16S ribosomal RNA
Rfam family: Bacterial small subunit ribosomal RNA
Source: RNAcentral